RNAcentral lists this non-coding RNA (782 nucleotides) under Papilio paris (Paris peacock swallowtail). The record is from RNAcentral. Lineage: Eukaryota; Metazoa; Arthropoda; Insecta; Lepidoptera; Papilionidae.
AAUAAAUUUUUUAUGAUUUAUAAAGUUUAAUUUGAAUUUAUUUUACAUAUAAAUUUUAGUAUAUAUUUUUAAUUUAUUUUAAAAAUUUUUAAAAAUUAAUUUAAUAGUAAUUAAUAUUAAAAAUUUAAGAAAUUAAGAUUUAGUAAUAUUUAAUAAUUAUUAACAAAUUUUGUGCCAGCAGUUGCGGUUAAACAAAAAAUAAUUUAAAUUUUAUUAGUAAAUAAUAAAUAUUAAUAUUUUAAAAAUAAAUAUUAAAUUAUUAGGUGAAAUUUUAAUUUAUUUAAAAUUUUAAUUAAUAAUUAUGAUUUAUAAAAUUUUAUUAAAAACUAGAAUUAGAUACUCUAUUAUUAAAAUAUAAAUAAAAAUACUAAAAUAGUAUAUAAUUAUUUAUUGAAACUUAAAUAAUUUGGCGGUAUUUUAGUUCAUUUAGAGGAAUCUGUUUAAUAAUUGAUAAUCCACGAAUAAAUUUACUUAAUUAAUAUAUUUUGUAUAUCGUUGUUAAAAAAAUAUUUUUUAAUAAAAAUAAUAUUUUAAAAUUUUAAAAAUAAAUUAAUUCAGAUCAAGAUGCAGAUUAUAAUUAAGAAUAUAAUGGAUUACAAUAAGAAAUGAUUAUAUGAAUAAUAUUUUUUAAAAUUUAUUUGAAGGUGGAUUUAAAUGUAAUUUUAUUUAAUUUAUUAAAAUGAUUAAAAAUUGAAAUAUGUACAUAUUGCCCGUCGCUUUCAUUAAUAAAUUGAAAUAAGUCGUAACAUAGUAGAAGUACUGGAAAGUGUUUCUAGAAAGAU